CCGUCGCGUGCGGGACCGGCGGGACCCUCGCCGGGCUGGCGGCCGGGCUGGGCCCGGGGCAGCGGGCCAUCGGGGUUCCGGUCCUCGCCGGCGGG
Molecule: transfer RNA, 95 nt
Filed under: Streptomyces toxytricini
Lineage: Bacteria; Bacillati; Actinomycetota; Actinomycetes; Kitasatosporales; Streptomycetaceae
Description: tRNA-Ala
Source: RNAcentral